RNAcentral lists this ribosomal RNA (253 nucleotides) under uncultured bacterium. Its description in RNAcentral is "partial 16S ribosomal RNA". It matches the Rfam family "Bacterial small subunit ribosomal RNA", at positions 524 to 776 of the family's 1533-position model. The record is from RNAcentral.
UACGUAGGGUGCGAGCGUUAAUCGGAAUCACUGGGCGUAAAGCGCGCGUAGGCGGUUUGUUAAGUGGGAUGUGAAAUCCCCGGGCUUAACCUGGGAAUUGCAUUUCAAACUGGCCGACUAGAGUACGGUAGAGGGAGGUAGAAUUUCCUGUGUAGCGGUGAAAUGCGUAGAUAUAGGAAGGAAUACCAGUGGCGAAGGCGGCCUCCUGGAUCGAUACUGACGCUGAGGUGCGAAAGCGUGGGGAGCAAACAGG